This is a non-coding RNA of Cubamyces lactineus, 83 nucleotides long. Lineage: Eukaryota; Fungi; Basidiomycota; Agaricomycetes; Polyporales; Polyporaceae. The record is from the annotation of a GenBank genome assembly.
GGGUCGGUGGCGUAGUUGGUUAUCGCAUCUGUCUAACAUAUCAUGUACACAGAAGGUCCUCAGUUCGAACCUGGGCCGACUCA